GCGGGUUUAGCUUAACGGAAAAGCGCUAAGUCUUCCGAAUUUAGAGAUAGGGGUUCGACUUCCCCUAAUCCGCU
Molecule: transfer RNA, 74 nt
Filed under: Neorhizobium alkalisoli
Lineage: Bacteria; Pseudomonadati; Pseudomonadota; Alphaproteobacteria; Hyphomicrobiales; Rhizobiaceae
Description: Rhizobium alkalisoli tRNA
Rfam family: tRNA
About the family: Transfer RNA (tRNA) molecules are approximately 80 nucleotides in length. Their secondary structure includes four short double-helical elements and three loops (D, anti-codon, and T loops). Further hydrogen bonds mediate the characteristic L-shaped molecular structure. tRNAs have two regions of fundamental functional importance: the anti-codon, which is responsible for specific mRNA codon recognition, and the 3' end, to which the tRNAs corresponding amino acid is attached (by aminoacyl-tRNA synthetases). tRNAs cope with the degeneracy of the genetic code in two manners: having more than one tRNA (with a specific anti-codon) for a particular amino acid; and 'wobble' base-pairing, i.e. permitting non-standard base-pairing at the 3rd anti-codon position.
Source: Rfam by way of RNAcentral